This 504-nucleotide ribosomal RNA is filed under the name uncultured bacterium. Its description in RNAcentral is "partial 16S ribosomal RNA". It matches the Rfam family "Bacterial small subunit ribosomal RNA", at positions 28 to 506 of the family's 1533-position model. The record is from RNAcentral.
GACGAACGCUGGCGGCGUGCCUAAUACAUGCAAGUGGGACGCAAGGAAACACACUGUGCUUGCACACCGUGUUUUCUUGAGUCGCGAACGGGUGAGUAACGCGUAGGUAACCUGCCUAUUAGCGGGGGAUAACUAUUGGAAACGAUAGCUAAUACCGCAUAAUAUUAAUUAUUGCAUGAUAAUUGAUUGAAAGAUGCAAGCGCAUCACUAGUAGAUGGACCUGCGUUGUAUUAGCUAGUUGGUAAGGUAAGGGCUUACCAAGGCGACGAUACAUAGCCGACCUGAGAGGGUGAUCGGCCACACUGGGACUGAGACACGGCCCAGACUCCUACGGGAGGCAGCAGUAGGGAAUCUUCGGCAAUGGGCGAAAGUCUGACCGAGCAACGCCGCGUGAGUGAAGAAGGUUUUCGGAUCGUAAAGCUCUGUUGUAAGUCAAGAACGUGUGUGAGAGUGGAAAGUUCCCUCAGUGCCGGUCGCUUACCAGAAAGGGCCGGCUAACUCCGU